CUGUAUUCUUUCUUCUUAUUAUUGGCAUCAGGAGCAGAACCCCCAAAUCAUGAAGCAAACAUUCUCAUCCAUUGCCAGAGUCAUGUGUUGUAAAUCUGACUAAAAAUUGGAAAAAUAGAAAUUUGGACAAAAACAACCAGCCUGAAACCUGCAUAAUGAGACACACUACUGUAACAUUAUGACAGUGCCAGGUCCAGCAGUGUACCUGACACUAUACUGAUAAUUUAAAUGGAGCAAUAGUACCGCCAUUUCAUGCAGCAAGAUUAUACAGUGUUAUUUACCAAAAAUAACAAUGCUAUGAGAGAGCACUCACUUUUAUUUUUCUUUGGGUGGUUUGGGGAGGAGUUCACAUUGCUUGAUAAAGACACACAGUCGAAACAGUGCUGUUUUGCAAUUAAAGGGAUAUCAUGUUUUCACCAUAAGGAGUGCUGGACAUAUUUUUUCGGUUAUUCACUAAACUGAGAAUUGUU
Non-coding RNA from Pelobates cultripes (western spadefoot toad), 470 nucleotides. The record is from the annotation of a GenBank genome assembly. Lineage: Eukaryota; Metazoa; Chordata; Amphibia; Anura; Pelobatidae.